GAUGAAGAACGCAGCGAAAUGCGAUAAGUAAUGUGAAUUGCAGAAUUCAGUGAAUCAUCGAAUCUUUGAACGCACAUUGCGCCCGCCAGUAUUCUGGCGGGCAUGCCUGUUCGAGCGUCAUUACAGCCCUCAGGCCCCCGGGCCUGGCGUUGGGGAUCGGCGGAGCCCCCCGUGGGCACACGCCGUCCCCCAAAUACAGUGGCGGUCCCGCCGCAGCUUCCAUCGCGUAGUAGCUAACACCUCGCGACUGGAGAGCGGCGCGGCCACGCCGUAAAACACCCAACUCUUCUGAAGUUGACCUCGAAUCAGGUAGGAAUACCCGCUGAACUUAAGCAUAUCAAUAAGCGGAGGA
Molecule: unclassified non-coding RNA, 352 nt
Filed under: soil metagenome
Description: partial contains 5.8S ribosomal RNA, internal transcribed spacer 2, and large subunit ribosomal RNA
Rfam family: 5.8S ribosomal RNA (bases 1-120)
Source: RNAcentral